UACGGGGGGGGCAAGCGUUGUUCGGAAUUACUGGGCGUAAAGGGCUCGUAGGCGGCCAACUAAGUCGGAUGUGAAAUCCCCAGGCUUAACCUGGGAACUGCAUCCGAUACUGGAUGGCUUGAAUCCGGGAGAGGGAUGCAGAAUUCCAGGUGUAGCGGUGAAAUGCGUAGAUAUCUGGAGGAAUACCGGUGGCGAAGGCGGCAUCCUGGACCGGCAUUGACGCUGAGGAGCGAAAGCUAGGGGAGCAAACAGG
RNAcentral lists this ribosomal RNA (253 nucleotides) under uncultured bacterium. RNAcentral's name for it is "partial 16S ribosomal RNA". It matches the Rfam family "Bacterial small subunit ribosomal RNA", at positions 524 to 776 of the family's 1533-position model. The record is from RNAcentral.